This 460-nucleotide ribosomal RNA is filed under the name uncultured bacterium. Its description in RNAcentral is "partial 16S ribosomal RNA". It matches the Rfam family "Bacterial small subunit ribosomal RNA", at positions 338 to 795 of the family's 1533-position model. The record is from RNAcentral.
CCUACGGGAGGCAGCAGUGAGGAAUAUUGGUCAAUGGGCUUACGCCUGAACCAGCCAAGUCGCGUGAGGGAAGACUGCCCUAUGGGUUGUAAACCUCUUUUGUCAGGGAGCAACGCCGGCUACGUGUAGCCGGACUGAGAGUACCUGAAGAAAAAGCAUCGGCUAACUCCGUGCCAGCAGCCGCGGUAAUACGGAAGGCCCGAGCGUUAUCCGGAUUCAUUGGGCUUAAAGGGAGCGUAGGCGGGCGUUCAAGUCAGCUGUAAAAUCGCGCGGCUCAACCGCGCCCCGCAGUUGAAACUGGACGCCUUGAGUUCACAACAGGCAGGCGGAAUUCGUGGUGUAGCGGUGAAAUGCAUAGAUAUCACGAGGAACCCCGAUUGCGAAGGCAGCCUGCCGGGGUGCGACUGACGCUGAGGCUCGAAGGUGCGGGUAUCAAACAGGAUUAGAUACCCUUGUAGUC